Molecule: ribosomal RNA, 484 nt
Filed under: uncultured bacterium
Lineage: Bacteria
Description: partial 16S ribosomal RNA
Rfam family: Bacterial small subunit ribosomal RNA
Source: RNAcentral
AUUGAACGCUGGCGGCAGGCCUAACACAUGCAAGUCGAGCGGAUGAAGGGAGCUUGCUCCUGGAUUCAGCGGCGGACGGGUGAGUAAUGCCUAGGAAUCUGCCUGGUAGUGGGGGAUAACGUCCGGAAACGGGCGCUAAUACCGCAUACGUCCUGAGGGAGAAAGUGGGGGAUCUUCGGACCUCACGCUAUCAGAUGAGCCUAGGUCGGAGUAGCUAGUUGGUGGGGUAAAGGCCUACCAAGGCGACGAUCCGUAACUGGUCUGAGAGGAUGAUCAGUCACACUGGAACUGAUACACGGUCCAGACUCCUACGGGAGGCCGCAGUGGGGAAUAUUGGACAAUGGGCGAAAGCCUGAUCCAGCCAUGCCGCGUGUGUGAAGAAGGUCUUCGGAUUGUAAAGCACUUUAAGUUGGGAGGAAGGGCAGUAAGUUAAUACCUUGCUGUUUUGACGUUACCAACAGAAUAAGCACCGGCUAACUUCGUG